This 253-nucleotide ribosomal RNA is filed under the name uncultured bacterium. RNAcentral describes it as "partial 16S ribosomal RNA". It matches the Rfam family "Bacterial small subunit ribosomal RNA", at positions 524 to 776 of the family's 1533-position model. The record is from RNAcentral.
UACGUAGGGUGCAAGCGUUAAUCGGAAUUACUGGGCGUAAAGCGUGCGCAGGCGGUUCGGAAAGAAAGAUGUGAAAUCCCAGAGCUUAACUUUGGAACUGCAUUUUUAACUACCGGGCUAGAGUAUGUCAGAGGGGGGUAGAAUUCCACGUGUAGCAGUGAAAUGCGUAGAGAUGUGGAGGAAUACCGAUGGCGAAGGCAGCCCCCUGGGAUAAUACUGACGCUCAUGCACGAAAGCGUGGGGAGCAAACAGG